RNAcentral lists this small RNA (472 nucleotides) under Rattus norvegicus (Norway rat). RNAcentral describes it as "uncharacterized LOC102553455". The record is from RNAcentral. Lineage: Eukaryota; Metazoa; Chordata; Mammalia; Rodentia; Muridae.
AAGAAGAGAGGAGAGAGAGGGGGAGAAGCCAUGGCUCUAAGUACCAAGAGAGACUUAACAAUAACCCACAGGCCAUAUCCCUCAUGUCCGUGCUGUACCUGGCAAAGAGAAGAGACCAAAGAGUGAACUAGUAAAUGAUGGUUUCCUCCAGUCCUGUUGUGACUUCCCGAGCGUUAGCAUGUCUUGGGAUAAAAGAGGAGCACACUCCCUCUUCAGUCUAUUCCUCCAGGAAUUCUCAAGGCCAUCUCUGGAGAGACGGAUGUCACACAUUUGCUGCACCAAAGGUCUCUAUGUCUUAGAUAGGAAAGUGGCUGGGUUGGGCUGUCUGCUGCAUGGCCCCUCUGAAGCUCCCCGGGCUCUUCAUGUGUUCUGUGGUCAAUGGGAACCAUACUGCCAUGGUGGCUGCAAAGUUAGAUGGGAAGACGUAUGCAAAACAAGAGAAACCGUAAUAAAAAAACAGUGGAAGGCUUCA